This is a long non-coding RNA of Suricata suricatta (meerkat), 370 nucleotides long. RefSeq lists it as uncharacterized. NCBI's taxonomy places the organism in Eukaryota, Metazoa, Chordata, Mammalia, Carnivora, Herpestidae. The record is from RefSeq and is a predicted model, not a curated record. The transcript is spliced from 2 exons.
GGCUCUGUGAGUAGUUCUUGGAGGUAUGAGCACUCAACGUGAGAAGUGAGGAAGGUGGGAAUAUGAAAUGUUAGGGAGCCUGGGAGAGAGAGCAUGGAUGGUCCCUGGAGCGCAGCCACCGCCGGUUCUUCUGAGCAGAGAUGAUAUACUAUUUGAGAUGUUCAUCGGACAGGACAUAAGCCAGAGACAAAACUGGGUUAAGAAGUGAGAAGUGGAACUGAGCACAGCGAUGGACAGACCACAGACACUGGAGUCCAUGGUUCUAUCAGUGAGGCUGGGAGACAAGUCUAGAAUAUCAGACUUUUGUUCUGGCUCACCCUCAAUUCCUUUCUAUUCAUUCUAUUCACCCAACAAAUAUUUCUAUUUGUUA